CUGCGCUCUUAGUAUCUGUUAAUUAAAGCUCCAUAGGGUCUUCUUGUCUUGUUAUUAUAUUCCCGUCUCUUCACGGGAAGGUCAAUUUCACAGAUUGGAAGUAAGAGACACGUCUGACUUCAGCCAGGUCACGAUCUCGCG
Long non-coding RNA from Herpailurus yagouaroundi (jaguarundi), 141 nucleotides. RefSeq lists it as uncharacterized. The transcript has 3 exons. The record is from RefSeq and is a predicted model, not a curated record. Lineage: Eukaryota; Metazoa; Chordata; Mammalia; Carnivora; Felidae.